Molecule: transfer RNA, 104 nt
Filed under: Dendrothele bispora CBS 962.96
Lineage: Eukaryota; Fungi; Basidiomycota; Agaricomycetes; Agaricales
Description: Dendrothele bispora (strain CBS 962.96) tRNA
Rfam family: tRNA
About the family: Transfer RNA (tRNA) molecules are approximately 80 nucleotides in length. Their secondary structure includes four short double-helical elements and three loops (D, anti-codon, and T loops).
Source: Rfam by way of RNAcentral
GGUGAGAUGGCCGAGCGGUCUAAGGCGCCAGACUAAGGAUCAAGGCAUGUGAUGUCUAAGCUAUCUGGUCCGAAAGGGCGUGGGUUCGAAUCCCACUCUCAUCA